UACGUAGGGUGCAAACGUUGCUCGGAAUUAUUGGGCGUAAAGCGCACGUAGGCGGCUUGGCACGUCGGUUGUGAAAUCCCUCGGCUCAACCAAGGAAGUGCAUCCGAAACUGCCGAGCUUGAGUACUUAAGAGGAUCGCGGAAUUCCCGGUGUAGAGGUGAAAUUCGUAGAUAUCGGGAGGAACACCAGUGGCGAAGGCGGCGAUCUGGGAAGUUACUGACGCUGAGGUGCGAAAGCGUGGGGAGCAAACAGG
Molecule: ribosomal RNA, 253 nt
Filed under: uncultured bacterium
Lineage: Bacteria
Description: partial 16S ribosomal RNA
Rfam family: Bacterial small subunit ribosomal RNA
Source: RNAcentral